RNAcentral lists this ribosomal RNA (413 nucleotides) under uncultured microorganism. RNAcentral's name for it is "bacterial SSU rRNA". It matches the Rfam family "Bacterial small subunit ribosomal RNA", at positions 509 to 917 of the family's 1533-position model. The record is from RNAcentral.
CAGCCGCCGCGGUAAUACGUAGGGGGCGAGCGUUGUCCGGAAUUAUUGGGCGUAAAGCGCGCGCAGGCGGUCCCUUAAGUCUGAUGUGAAAGCCCACGGCUCAACCGUGGAGGGUCAUUGGAAACUGGGGGACUUGAGUGCAGAAGAGGAGAGCGGAAUUCCACGUGUAGCGGUGAAAUGCGUAGAUAUCGGGAGGAACACCAGUGGCGAAGGCGGCCUCCUGGCCCGCUCCUGACGCUGAGACCCGAAAGCGUGGGGAGCAAACCGGAUUAGAUACCCGGGUAGUCCUGGCUGUAAACGAUGCGGACUUUGUGUCGGACAAGCUAUGAGCUUGUCCGGUGCCGGAGGGAAACCGUUAAGUCCGCCGCCUGGGGAGUACGGCCGCAAGGCUGAAACUUAAAGGAAUUGGCGGG